UGCAGCGUAGCUUAACGGCAAAGCCCCAAGCUCAUAACUUGGUCAUUGCGGGUUCGACUCCCGUCGCUGCGACCA
This 75-nucleotide transfer RNA is filed under the name Oculatella sp. LEGE 06141. Its description in RNAcentral is "tRNA-Ile". It matches the Rfam family "tRNA". From Rfam's summary of the family: Transfer RNA (tRNA) molecules are approximately 80 nucleotides in length. Their secondary structure includes four short double-helical elements and three loops (D, anti-codon, and T loops). The record is from RNAcentral. Lineage: Bacteria; Bacillati; Cyanobacteriota; Cyanophyceae; Oculatellales; Oculatellaceae.